This 201-nucleotide ribosomal RNA is filed under the name uncultured bacterium. Its description in RNAcentral is "partial 16S ribosomal RNA". It matches the Rfam family "Bacterial small subunit ribosomal RNA", at positions 576 to 775 of the family's 1533-position model. The record is from RNAcentral.
CGGAUAGAGCAAGUCUGGAGUGAAAUCUCGCCGCUCAACGGCGGGGCUGCUUUGGAUACUGCAUAUCUGGAGAUCGGUAGAGGCUGGUAGAAUUCCACGUGUAGCAGUGAAAUGCGUAGAGAUGUGGAGGAAUACCAAUGGCGAAGGCAGCCUCCUGGCCUAAUACUGACGCUCAUGCACGAAAGCGUGGGGAGCAAACAG